Molecule: ribosomal RNA, 429 nt
Filed under: Pseudomonadota bacterium
Lineage: Bacteria; Pseudomonadati; Pseudomonadota
Description: Proteobacteria bacterium partial 16S ribosomal RNA
Rfam family: Bacterial small subunit ribosomal RNA
Source: RNAcentral
UGGGGAAUAUUGGACAAUGGGCGAAAGCCUGAUCCAGCCAUGCCGCGUGUGUGAAGAAGGUCUUCGGAUUGUAAAGCACUUUAAGUUGGGAGGAAGGGCAGUAAGCGAAUACCUUGCUGUUUUGACGUUACCGACAGAAUAAGCACCGGCUAACUCUGUGCCAGCAGCCGCGGUAAUACAGAGGGUGCGAGCGUUAAUCGGAUUUACUGGGCGUAAAGCGUGCGUAGGCGGCUAAUUGAGUCGGAUGUGAAAUCCCCGAGCUUAACUUGGGAAUUGCAUUCGAUACUGGUUAGCUAGAGUGUGGGAGAGGAUGGUAGAAUUCCAGGUGUAGCGGUGAAGUGCGUAGAGAUCUGGAGGAAUACCGAUGGCGAAGGCAGCCAUCUGGCCUAACACUGACGCUGAGGUACGGAAGCAUGGGGAGCAAACAGG